AUGUUGUUUGAACUCAGCAAAGCUGGUCAUUUGGAAUCACUCAAUUUCCUAAACAAGGUUUGGUUCCAGUUUGAGGUAUCUUCUAAUUUGAAUCUGACACCUGAACCUGAUGUUGGACAACAAGAAGAAAUUGAUACAAGCAUAGAACCUGCACCAAAGAAACUAAGAAAGUUGAAUCUUGAGGUUCAUUUAUGUUCCAUCCCCUCACACUAG
This is a non-coding RNA of Vicia faba (fava bean), 213 nucleotides long. Lineage: Eukaryota; Viridiplantae; Streptophyta; Magnoliopsida; Fabales; Fabaceae. The record is from the annotation of a GenBank genome assembly.